RNAcentral lists this ribosomal RNA (1346 nucleotides) under uncultured bacterium. RNAcentral's name for it is "partial 16S ribosomal RNA". It matches the Rfam family "Bacterial small subunit ribosomal RNA", at positions 28 to 1381 of the family's 1533-position model. The record is from RNAcentral.
GACGAGCGCUGGCGGCGUGCUUAACACAUGCAAGUCGAACGGAAAGGCCCUGCUUUUGUGGGGUGCUCGAGUGGCGAACGGGUGAGUAACACGUGAGUAACCUGCCCUUGACUUUGGGAUAACUUCAGGAAACUGGGGCUAAUACCGGAUAGGAGCUCCUGCUGCAUGGUGGGGGUUGGAAAGUUUCGGCGGUUGGGGAUGGACUCGCGGCUUAUCAGCUUGUUGGUGGGGUAGUGGCUUACCAAGGCUUUGACGGGUAGCCGGCCUGAGAGGGUGACCGGCCACAUUGGGACUGAGAUACGGCCCAGACCCCUACGGGAGGCAGCAGUGGGGAAUAUUGCACAAUGGGCGGAAGCCUGAUGCAGCGACGCCGCGUGCGGGAUGACGGCCUUCGGGUUGUAAACCGCUUUCGCCUGUGACGAAGCGUGAGUGACGGUAAUGGGUAAAGAAGCACCGGCUAACUACGUGCCAGCAGCCGCGGUGAUACGUAGGGUGCGAGCGUUGUCCGGAUUUAUUGGGCGUAAAGGGCUCGUAGGUGGUUGAUCGCGUCGGAAGUGUAAUCUUGGGGCUUAACCCUGAGCGUGCUUUCGAUACGGGUUGACUUGAGGAAGGUAGGGGAGAAUGGAAUUCCUGGUGGAGCGGUGGAAUGCGCAGAUAUCAGGAGGAACACCAGUGGCGAAGGCGGUUCUCUGGGCCUUUCCUGACGCUGAGGAGCGAAAGCGUGGGGAGCGAACAGGCUUAGAUACCCUGGUAGUCCACGCUGUAAACGGUGGGUACUAGGUGUGGGGUCCAUUCCACGGGUUCCGUGCCGUAGCUAACGCUUUAAGUACCCCGCCUGGGGAGUACGGCCGCAAGGCUAAAACUCAAAGGAAUUGACGGGGCCCCGCACAAGCGGCGGAGCAUGCGGAUUAAUUCGAUGCAACGCGUAGAACCUUACCUGGGUUUGACAUGGAUCGGGAGUGCUCAGAGAUGGGUGUGCCUCUUUUGGGGUCGGUUCACAGGUGGUGCAUGCCUGUCGUCAGCUCGUGUCGUGAGAUGUUGGGUUAAGUCCCGCAACGAGCGCAACCCUUGUUCACUGUUGCCAGCACGUUAUGGUGGGGACUCAGUGGAGACCGCCGGGGUCAACUCGGAGGAAGGUGGGGAUGACGUCAAGUCAUCAUGCCCCUUAUGUCCAGGGCUUCACGCAUGCUACAAUGGCUGGUACAGAGAGUGGCGAGCCUGUGAGGGUGAGCGGAUCUCGGAAAGCCGGUCUCAGUUCGGAUUGGGGUCUGCAACUCGACCUCAUGAAGUCGGAGUCGCUAGUAAUCGCAGAUCAGCAACGCUGCGGUGAAUACGUUCCCGGGGCU